This 468-nucleotide ribosomal RNA is filed under the name uncultured bacterium. RNAcentral describes it as "partial 16S ribosomal RNA". It matches the Rfam family "Bacterial small subunit ribosomal RNA", at positions 28 to 507 of the family's 1533-position model. The record is from RNAcentral.
GACGAACGCUGGCGGCGUGCUUAACACAUGCAAGUCGAACGGAAAGGCCCUGCUUUUGUGGGGUGCUCGAGUGGCGAACGGGUGAGUAACACGUGAGUAACCUGCCCUUGACUUUGGGAUAACUUCAGGAAACUGGGGCUAAUACCGGAUAGGAGCUCCUGCGGCAUGGUGGGGGUGGGAAAGUUUCGGCGGUUGGGGAUGGACUCGCGGCUUAUCAGCUUGUUGGUGGGGUAGUGGCUUACCAAGGCUUUGACGGGUAGCCGGCCUGAGAGGGUGACCGGCCACAUUGGGACUGAGAUACGGCCCAGACUCCUACGGGAGGCAGCAGUGGGGAAUAUUGCACAAUGGGCGGAAGCCUGAUGCAGCAACGCCGCGUGCGGGAUGACGGCCUUCGGGUUGUAAACCGCUUUCGCCUGUGACGAAGCGUGAGUGACGGUAAUGGGUAAAGAAGCACCGGCUAACUACGUG